RNAcentral lists this ribosomal RNA (497 nucleotides) under uncultured bacterium. RNAcentral describes it as "partial 16S ribosomal RNA". It matches the Rfam family "Bacterial small subunit ribosomal RNA", at positions 28 to 507 of the family's 1533-position model. The record is from RNAcentral.
GAUGAACGCUGGCGGCGUGCCUAAUACAUGCAAGUCGAGCGAACGGACGAGAAGCUUGCUUCUCUGAUGUUAGCGGCGGACGGGUGAGUAACACGUGGAUAACCUACCUAUAAGACUGGGAUAACUUCGGGAAACCGGAGCUAAUACCGGAUAAUAUUUUGAACCGCAUGGUUCAAAAGUGAAAGACGGUCUUGCUGUCACUUAUAGAUGGAUCCGCGCUGCAUUAGCUAGUUGGUAAGGUAACGGCUUACCAAGGCAACGAUGCAUAGCCGACCUGAAAGGGUGAUCGGCCACACGGGAACUGAGACACGGUCCAGACUCCUGCGGGAGGCAGCAGUAGGGAAUCUUCCGCAAUGGUCGAAAGCCUGGCGGAGCAGCGCCGCGUGAGUUAUAAAGGUCUUCGGAUCGUAAAACUCUGUUAUUAGGGAAGAACAUAUUUGUAAGUAACUGUGCACAUCGUGACGGUACCUAAUCAGAAAGCCACGGCUAACUACGUG